AACGCAUAUUGCGCCCGAAGCUCCGGCUUAGGGCAUGCCUGCCUCAGCGUCGUUUAUGGACCCUCGUCCCCUCUUUAGCGCCAUCUUUACGAUGAGCAUGGGGGCGGAUCUGGCCUUCCCAUUGCCUCGUUGCCAUGGGUUGGUUGAAAAUGAGAGGCAUGAGCAAGGAACACAUACGCUCCAACUGGACAGGUUCGUAUCAUCGAUGCGCAACACGAAGUUGAGGCGUGGUCUUUGCAAUUGUCUAGCAGGAAGCCAUGCAAAUGGCGUCACAACCGUUUGACCUGAGCUCAGGCAAGAUUACCCGCUGAACUUAA
This 317-nucleotide unclassified non-coding RNA is filed under the name uncultured soil eukaryote. Its description in RNAcentral is "sequence contains 5.8S rRNA gene, ITS2, 28S rRNA gene". The record is from RNAcentral.